This 301-nucleotide ribosomal RNA is filed under the name uncultured bacterium. RNAcentral describes it as "partial 16S ribosomal RNA". It matches the Rfam family "Archaeal small subunit ribosomal RNA", at positions 459 to 759 of the family's 1478-position model. The record is from RNAcentral.
CAGUAGCCGCGGUAAUACCAGCAGCCCAAGUGGUGGUCGCGUUUAUUGGGCCUAAAGCGCUCGUAGCCUGGCCGGUAAGUUCCCCGUGAAAUCGGGUCGCCCAACGAUUCGGCUUGCGGGGAAUACUGUCGGUCUUGGGGCCGGGAGACGCCGAGGGUACUCCGGGGGUAGCGGUGAGAUGCUGUAAUCCUCGGGGGACUACCAGUGGCGAAGGCGCUCGGCGAUAACGGGCCUGACGGUGAGGGGCGAAAGCUGGGGGCGCGAACGGGAUUAGAGACCCCCGUAGUUCCUGUCUCUUAUA